UACGUAGGGCGCAAGCGUUGUCCGGAAUUAUUGGGCGUAAAGAGCUCGUAGGCGGUCUGUUACGUCUGCUGUGAAAACCCAGGGCUUAACCCUGGGCUUGCAGUGGAUACGGGCAGACUAGAGGCAGGUAGGGGAGAAUGGAAUUCCCGGUGUAGCGGUGAAAUGCGCAGAUAUCGGGAGGAACACCGGUGGCGAAGGCGGGUCUCUGGGCAGUUCCUGACGCUGAGGCGCGAAAGCGUGGGGAGCAAACGGG
This 253-nucleotide ribosomal RNA is filed under the name uncultured bacterium. RNAcentral describes it as "partial 16S ribosomal RNA". It matches the Rfam family "Bacterial small subunit ribosomal RNA", at positions 524 to 776 of the family's 1533-position model. The record is from RNAcentral.